UACGUAGGUGGCAAGCGUUGUCCGGAAUUACUGGGUGUAAAGGGUGCGUAGGCGGGUAUACAAGUCAGGUGUGAAAUUCCGAGGCUCAACUUCGGAACUGCAUUUGAAACUGUAUAUCUUGAGUGAAGGAGAGGUAAGCGGAAUUCCCAGUGUAGCGGUGAAAUGCGUAGAUAUUGGGGGGAACACCAGUGGCGAAGGCGGCUUACUGGACUUUAACUGACGCUGAAGCACGAAAGCGUGGGUAGCAAACAGGAUUAGAUACCCUGGUAGUCCACGCUGUAAACGAUGGAUACUAGGUGUGGGAGGUAUCGACUCCUUCCGUGCCGCAGUUAACACAAUAAGUAUCCCACCUGGGGAGUACGGCCGCAAGGUUGAA
Molecule: ribosomal RNA, 376 nt
Filed under: uncultured bacterium
Lineage: Bacteria
Description: bacterial SSU rRNA
Rfam family: Bacterial small subunit ribosomal RNA
Source: RNAcentral